AGAGUUUGAUCAUGGCUCAGGAUGAACGCUAGCGGCAGGCUUAACACAUGCAAGUCGAGGGGCAGCAUGUCCAGCAAUGGAUGAUGGCGACCGGCGGAAGGGUGCGUAACGCGUGAGCAACAUGCCCUAUACAGGGAGAUACACCAGGGAAACUUGGUCUAAUAUCCCAUAGCAUUCAUUGAAGGCAUCUUUAAUGAAUUAAAGCUUCGGUGGUAUAGGAUUGGCUCGCGUGACAUUAGCCAGAUGGUGAGGUAACGGCUCACCAUAGCAAUGAUGUCUAGGGGUUUUGAGAGGAAGGCCCCCCACACUGGGACUGAGACACGGCCCAGACUCCUACGGGAGGCAGCAGUGAGGAAUAUUGGACAAUGGAUGGAAAUCUGAUCCAGCCAUGCCGCGUGCAGGAAGACGGCCUUAUGGGUUGUAAACUGCUUUUAUACGGGAGCAAUAAGGGUUACGAGUAAUCCGAUGAGAGUACUGUAUGAAUAAGGAUCGGCUAACUCCGUGCCAGCAGCCGCGGUAAUACGGAGGAUCCGAGCGUUAUCCGGAAUUAUUGGGUUUAAAGGGUGCGUAGGCGGCCAUUUAAGUCAGCGGUGAAAUUUUGCAGCUUAACUGUAACAGUGCCGUUGAUACUGUUUGGCUAGGAUUUGGUUGUAGUGUGCGGAAUGUGUGGUGUAGCGGUGAAAUGCUUAGAUAUCACACAGAACACCGAUUGCGAAGGCAGCACACUAAGUCAUUAUUGACGCUGAGGCACGAAAGUGUGGGGAUCAAACAGGAUUAGAUACCCUGGUAGUCCACACUGUAAACGAUGAUAACUCGCUGUCGGCGAUACACAGUCGGUGGCCAAGCGAAAGCAUUAAGUUAUCCACCUGGGGAGUACGACCGCAAGGUUGAAACUCAA
Molecule: ribosomal RNA, 898 nt
Filed under: uncultured bacterium
Lineage: Bacteria
Description: bacterial SSU rRNA
Rfam family: Bacterial small subunit ribosomal RNA
Source: RNAcentral